RNAcentral lists this unclassified non-coding RNA (353 nucleotides) under soil metagenome. RNAcentral's name for it is "partial contains 5.8S ribosomal RNA, internal transcribed spacer 2, and large subunit ribosomal RNA". The stretch from base 1 to 120 matches the Rfam family "5.8S ribosomal RNA", at positions 35 to 154 of the family's 154-position model. The record is from RNAcentral.
GAUGAAGAACGUAGUGAAUUGCGAUAUGUAAUGUGAAUUGCAGAAUUCAGUGAAUCAUCGAAUCUUUGAACGCACAUUGCGCCCGCCAGUAUUCUGGCGGGCAUGCCUGUCCGAGCGUCAUUUCAACCCUCGAACCCCUCCGGGGGGUCGGCGUUGGGGAUCGGCCCUUUCACCGGGUGCCGGCCCCUAAAUACAGUGGCGGUCUCGCCGCAGCCUCUCAUGCGCAGUAGUUUGCACACUCGCACCGGGAGCGCGGCGCGUCCUCGUCCGUAAAACACCCCAAACUUCUGAAAUGUUGACCUCGGAUCAGGUAGGAAUACCCGCUGAACUUAAGCAUAUCAAUAAGCGGAGGA